Molecule: unclassified non-coding RNA, 143 nt
Filed under: uncultured fungus
Lineage: Eukaryota; Fungi
Description: sequence contains ITS1
Source: RNAcentral
CCGAGUUUUAUACUCCCAACCCUGUGAACAUACCAAUCGUUGCUUCGGCGGGCGACCCGGGGGGUCCCCAGGCGCUCUGCGCGCCCGCCGACGGCGCCAAACUCAAGCUUCAGCGGACUUCUGAGUGAAAAACAAACAAGUAA